GUCCGUGUCAAAGGAAAAGGGGGUAUCACUCCUUUGCAUUACGCAACUCAACAAGGAAACUUGCUUAUUUUGAGAGAAUGUUAUAAAGGUUGCCCCGACUCUAUCAAAGAUGUUACCUUUCACGGCGAUACUGCUUUACACAUUGCAGUAAGGAACCACCAAAAUGAUGCUUUCGAAUUAUUGAUGGAAUGGCUUAAGAAGUCCUCAUUCAAAGAUGCCGAUUUUUGGGAAAGAGAGCUCCUUAACUGGAAAAACGAGGAAGGUAGAACCGUUCUGCACAUUGCUGCUUUGGAGACUGGAUGGAAUGGACAACUCCAGGUAUUAGAAAUGUUGCUGCGAUGUCCCUAUGCUAGAACUGAUAUACAAGAUCUUGCUGGUCAGACAGCUAGGCAAAUCCUGAGAGACCAGGUUGGAUUAACGGAAAAACAAAUU
Molecule: unclassified non-coding RNA, 432 nt
Filed under: Hevea brasiliensis (rubber tree)
Lineage: Eukaryota; Viridiplantae; Streptophyta; Magnoliopsida; Malpighiales; Euphorbiaceae
Source: RNAcentral